RNAcentral lists this transfer RNA (68 nucleotides) under Saimiri sciureus (common squirrel monkey). RNAcentral's name for it is "tRNA-Ala". It matches the Rfam family "tRNA". From Rfam's summary of the family: Transfer RNA (tRNA) molecules are approximately 80 nucleotides in length. Their secondary structure includes four short double-helical elements and three loops (D, anti-codon, and T loops). Lineage: Eukaryota; Metazoa; Chordata; Mammalia; Primates; Cebidae. The record is from RNAcentral. RNAcentral also lists the same sequence under 8 other names.
AAGGGCUUAGCUUAAUUAAAGUAUUUGAUUUGCGUUCAAUUGAUGCAAAGUGGAAUUUGCAGUCCUUA